Molecule: long non-coding RNA, 592 nt
Organism: Polistes dominula (European paper wasp)
Lineage: Eukaryota; Metazoa; Arthropoda; Insecta; Hymenoptera; Vespidae
Source: RefSeq, a predicted model, not a curated record
UCGCACGACAUGCGCUCUAACAACUGGGUCAUCGUUGAGCAUGAGCGCCUGAAAAUCCAUUUUCUUGGUCUCUCUCUCACUGUGAGUCGUCUAGCUACCUAGGUCAGGACAGGCCAGGCCAGGCCAGGCCAGGCAAGGAUCCACCAAGCAUUCGCCGCACUCUCUUUCUCUCUAUCUAUCUCUAUAUCUUCUCUCUUACUCUCUCUCUCUCUCUCUCUCUCUCUCAAUUUUUAUCUUUCAACGUCGAUAAUUCAUCCUAUCUGACAAAAUGGGCUGGACUACGUUACGUACAAGAGUCGACAUUGAAUAAGAAAAAAAAAAAAAAAAAAAAAAUAAGAAAAAACGAUUCGUGAUGAAUUCCGCAAUGGCGCAGCCUCGAUCCAAUUAAUGUCAUCGUAACAACACACUAUGAAAGCAUUAAAAUUGCAUUGGCUUCGAUAUCAGAUUUCUAUUUUACUCGUUUGACAAAACACACAACUGGCACGAAAGUGUAAAAACAGCGAGAAGAGACUACGACAAUUUUGACAAAAUACGUUCGAGUAAAAUUGGUGAGAAAUAAUAAUUAAUAGGGCGGGAAAAUCAAAUACCAAAA